GACGAACGCUGGCGGCGUGCUUAACACAUGCAAGUCGAACGGAAAGGCCCUGCUUUUGUGGGGUGCUCGAGUGGCGAACGGGUGAGUAACACGUGAGUAACCUGCCCUUGACUUUGGGAUAACUUCAGGCAACUGGGGCUACUACCGGAUAGGAGCUCCUGCUGCAUGGUGGGGGUUGGAACGUUUCGGCGGUUGGGGAUGGACUCGGGGCUUAUCAGCUUGUUGGUGGGGUAGUGGCUUACCAAGGCUUUGACGGGUAGCCGGCCUGAGAGGGUGACCGGCCACAUGGGGACUGAGAUACGGCCCAGACUCCUACGGUAGGCAGCAGUGGGGAAUAUUGCACAAUGGGCGGAAGCCUGAUGCAGCAACGCCGCGUGCGGGAUGACGGCCUUCGGGUUGUAAACCGCUUUCGCCUGUGACGAAGCGUGAGUGACGGUAAUGGGUAAAGAAGCACCGGCUAACUACGUG
This 468-nucleotide ribosomal RNA is filed under the name uncultured bacterium. RNAcentral's name for it is "partial 16S ribosomal RNA". It matches the Rfam family "Bacterial small subunit ribosomal RNA", at positions 28 to 507 of the family's 1533-position model. The record is from RNAcentral.